AGCGUACACGGUGGAUGCCCUGGCAGUCAGAGGCGAUGAAGGACGUGCUAAUCUGCGAUAAGCGUCGGUAAGGUGAUAUGAACCGUUAUAACCGGCGAUUUCCGAAUGGGGAAACCCAGUGUGAUUCGUCACACUAUCAUUAACUGAAUCCAUAGGUUAAUGAGGCGAACCGGGGGAACUGAAACAUCUAAGUACCCCGAGGAAAAGAAAUCAACCGAGAUUCCCCCAGUAGCGGCGAGCGAACGGGGAGCAGCCCAGAGCCUGAAUCAGUGUGUGUGUUAGUGGAAGCGUCUGGAAAGGCGUGCGAUACAGGGUGACAGCCCCGUACACAAAAAUGCACAUGCUGUGAGCUCGAUGAGUAGGGCGGGACACGUGGUAUCCUGUCUGAAUAUGGGGGGACCAUCCUCCAAGGCUAAAUACUCCUGACUGACCGAUAGUGAACCAGUACCGUGAGGGAAAGGCGAAAAGAACCCCGGCGAGGGGAGUGAAAAAGAACCUGAAACCGUGUACGUACAAGCAGUGGGAGCACAGAGCAAUCUGUGUGACUGCGUACCUUUUGUAUAAUGGGUCAGCGACUUAUAUUCUGUAGCAAGGUUAACCGAAUAGGGGAGCCGAAGGGAAACCGAGUCUUAACUGGGCGUUAAGUUGCAGGGUAUAGACCCGAAACCCGGUGAUCUAGCCAUGGGCAGGUUGAAGGUUGGGUAACACUAACUGGAGGACCGAACCGACUAAUGUUGAAAAAUUAGCGGAUGACUUGUGGCUGGGGGUGAAAGGCCAAUCAAACCGGGAGAUAGCUGGUUCUCCCCGAAAGCUAUUUAGGUAGCGCCUCGUGAAUUCAUCUCCGGGGGUAGAGCACUGUUUCGGCAAGGGGGUCAUCCCGACUUACCAACCCGAUGCAAACUGCGAAUACCGGAGAAUGUUAUCACGGGAGACACACGGCGGGUGCUAACGUCCGUCGUGAAGAGGGAAACAACCCAGACCGCCAGCUAAGGUCCCAAAGUCAUGGUUAAGUGGGAAACGAUGUGGGAAGGCCCAGACAGCCAGGAUGUUGGCUUAGAAGCAGCCAUCAUUUAAAGAAAGCGUAAUAGCUCACUGGUCGAGUCGGCCUGCGCGGAAGAUGUAACGGGGCUAAACCAUGCACCGAAGCUGCGGCAGCGACGCUUAUGCGUUGUUGGGUAGGGGAGCGUUCUGUAAGCCUGCGAAGGUGUGCUGUGAGGCAUGCUGGAGGUAUCAGAAGUGCGAAUGCUGACAUAAGUAACGAUAAAGCGGGUGAAAAGCCCGCUCGCCGGAAGACCAAGGGUUCCUGUCCAACGUUAAUCGGGGCAGGGUGAGUCGACCCCUAAGGCGAGGCCGAAAGGCGUAGUCGAUGGGAAACAGGUUAAUAUUCCUGUACUUGGUGUUACUGCGAAGGGGGGACGGAGAAGGCUAUGUUGGCCGGGCGACGGUUGUCCCGGUUUAAGCGUGUAGGCUGGUUUUCCAGGCAAAUCCGGAAAAUCAAGGCUGAGGCGUGAUGACGAGGCACUACGGUGCUGAAGCAACAAAUGCCCUGCUUCCAGGAAAAGCCUCUAAGCAUCAGGUAACAUCAAAUCGUACCCCAAACCGACACAGGUGGUCAGGUAGAGAAUACCAAGGCGCUUGAGAGAACUCGGGUGAAGGAACUAGGCAAAAUGGUGCCGUAACUUCGGGAGAAGGCACGCUGAUAUGUAGGUGAAGUCCCUCGCGGAUGGAGCUGAAAUCAGUCGAAGAUACCAGCUGGCUGCAACUGUUUAUUAAAAACACAGCACUGUGCAAACACGAAAGUGGACGUAUACGGUGUGACGCCUGCCCGGUGCCGGAAGGUUAAUUGAUGGGGUUAGCGCAAGCGAAGCUCUUGAUCGAAGCCCCGGUAAACGGCGGCCGUAACUAUAACGGUCCUAAGGUAGCGAAAUUCCUUGUCGGGUAAGUUCCGACCUGCACGAAUGGCGUAAUGAUGGCCAGGCUGUCUCCACCCGAGACUCAGUGAAAUUGAACUCGCUGUGAAGAUGCAGUGUACCCGCGGCAAGACGGAAAGACCCCGUGAACCUUUACUAUAGCUUGACACUGAACAUUGAGCCUUGAUGUGUAGGAUAGGUGGGAGGCUUUGAAGUGUGGACGCCAGUCUGCAUGGAGCCGACCUUGAAAUACCACCCUUUAAUGUUUGAUGUUCUAACGUUGACCCGUGAUCCGGGUUGCGGACAGUGUCUGGUGGGUAGUUUGACUGGGGCGGUCUCCUCCUAAAGAGUAACGGAGGAGCACGAAGGUUGGCUAAUCCUGGUCGGACAUCAGGAGGUUAGUGCAAUGGCAUAAGCCAGCUUGACUGCGAGCGUGACGGCGCGAGCAGGUGCGAAAGCAGGUCAUAGUGAUCCGGUGGUUCUGAAUGGAAGGGCCAUCGCUCAACGGAUAAAAGGUACUCCGGGGAUAACAGGCUGAUACCGCCCAAGAGUUCAUAUCGACGGCGGUGUUUGGCACCUCGAUGUCGGCUCAUCACAUCCUGGGGCUGAAGUAGGUCCCAAGGGUAUGGCUGUUCGCCAUUUAAAGUGGUACGCGAGCUGGGUUUAGAACGUCGUGAGACAGUUCGGUCCCUAUCUGCCGUGGGCGCUGGAGAACUGAGGGGGGCUGCUCCUAGUACGAGAGGACCGGAGUGGACGCAUCACUGGUGUUCGGGUUGUCAUGCCAAUGGCACUGCCCGGUAGCUAAAUGCGGAAGAGAUAAGUGCUGAAAGCAUCUAAGCACGAAACUUGCCCCGAGAUGAGUUCUCCCUGACUCCUUGA
This 2789-nucleotide ribosomal RNA is filed under the name Escherichia coli. RNAcentral's name for it is "bacterial LSU rRNA". It matches the Rfam family "Bacterial large subunit ribosomal RNA". Lineage: Bacteria; Pseudomonadati; Pseudomonadota; Gammaproteobacteria; Enterobacterales; Enterobacteriaceae. The record is from RNAcentral.